CUGAAAAUAAUUUAAAAAGCUUAAAAGUUACAUAGGCAUCUUCAAAAGAACACAAUGGGAUUCAUUUUAUUGUUGACUUUUGGACACCAGUGUCAGACUUUAUUGAAAACAAACCCAUGUAAAAACAAAGUUAAAAUGAAAAAUGGCACCUGAAAAAUAAAUUAUUUUAUAUAAAACAAAUCAAUAACUUAAAACACACUAAUAUACAAAAGGUCUAACCAUCUACUGUACAACAUGGGAAUCGGUUAAGAGAGCCUCCCCUCCCCCAAAGCAAGUCACUGUAAACGGAACAUCACAUGGUCAUGGUCAAAGAGGUGGCCCCAAACCAACGGAAAAGGCUUCUCUUCUGGUGGAAGAAAAAUCCAGUCCUGUCAAAGUCUCCGUUAGCCUAACUUAGGUACUGGCGGUGGAGGGUGGGGUGGAGGGACAGGAUAGAGGCCUCCUGUCAGCUGAAUUCUUAUUCUCUUUCAUCCAACACAGGAAGGCUGCGAAAAGCACAUGGAAAUAAAAGGGGGCUGAAUCGGAUGU
This is a long non-coding RNA of Homo sapiens (human), 528 nucleotides long. The record is from Ensembl. Lineage: Eukaryota; Metazoa; Chordata; Mammalia; Primates; Hominidae.